UGAGGAAUAUUGGUCAAUGGGCGUAAGCCUGAACCAGCCAAGUCGCGUGAGGGAUGACUGUCCUAUGGAUUGUAAACCUCUUUUAUUCGGGAAGAAUAAGUGUUACGUGUAACACGAUGCCUGUACCGAAUGAAUAAGCAUCGGCUAACUCCGUGCCAGCAGCCGCGGUAAUACGAAGGGGGCAAGCGUUGUUCGGAAUUACUGGGCGUAAAGCGCACGCAGGCGGCGUGACGCGUCAGAAGUGAAAUCCCCGGGCUCAACCUGGGAACUGCUUUUGAAACGGUCAUGCUUGAAUCAUGGAGAGGGUAGCGGAAUCCCGAGUGUAGAGGUGAAAUUCGUAGAUAUUCGGAAGAACACCGGUGGCGAAGGCGGCUACCUGGCCAUGUAUUGACGCUCAGGUGCGAAAGCGUGGGGAGCAAACA
This 422-nucleotide ribosomal RNA is filed under the name uncultured bacterium. RNAcentral's name for it is "bacterial SSU rRNA". It matches the Rfam family "Bacterial small subunit ribosomal RNA", at positions 355 to 774 of the family's 1533-position model. The record is from RNAcentral.